UACCGUUGACAACUUAAUGGU
RNAcentral lists this non-coding RNA (21 nucleotides) under Caenorhabditis elegans. The record is from RNAcentral. Lineage: Eukaryota; Metazoa; Nematoda; Chromadorea; Rhabditida; Rhabditidae.